UACCAGCACCCCGAGUGGUCGGGGCGAUUAUUGGGCCUAAAGCGUCCGUAGCCGGCCUUACAAGUCCCCCGUUAAAUCCAACUGCUUAACAGAUGGGCUGCGGAGGAUACUAUAAGACUAGGAGGCAGGAGAGGCAAGCGGUACUCAGUGGGUAGGGGUAAAAUCCGUUGAUCCAUUGAAGACCACCAGUGGCGAAGGCGGCUUGCCAGAAUGCGCUCGACGGUGAGGGAUGAAAGCUGGGGGAGCAAACAGG
This 253-nucleotide ribosomal RNA is filed under the name uncultured bacterium. Its description in RNAcentral is "partial 16S ribosomal RNA". It matches the Rfam family "Archaeal small subunit ribosomal RNA", at positions 474 to 727 of the family's 1478-position model. The record is from RNAcentral.